Molecule: ribosomal RNA, 550 nt
Filed under: uncultured bacterium
Lineage: Bacteria
Description: bacterial SSU rRNA
Rfam family: Bacterial small subunit ribosomal RNA
Source: RNAcentral
UAGGGAAUCUUCGGCAAUGGACGGAAGUCUGACCGAGCAACGCCGCGUGAGUGAAGAAGGUUUUCGGAUCGUAAAGCUCUGUUGUAAGAGAAGAACGAGUGUGAGAGUGGAAAGUUCACACUGUGACGGUAACUUACCAGAAAGGGACGGCUAACUACGUGCCAGCAGCCGCGGUAAUACGUAGGUCCCGAGCGUUAUCCGGAUUUAUUGGGCGUAAAGCGAGCGCAGGCGGUUAGAUAAGUCUGAAGUUAAAGGCUGUGGCUUAACCAUAGUACGCUUUGGAAACUGUUUAACUUGAGUGCAGAAGGGGAGAGUGGAAUUCCAUGUGUAGCGGUGAAAUGCGUAGAUAUAUGGAGGAACACCGGUGGCGAAAGCGGCUCUCUGGUCUGUAACUGACGCUGAGGCUCGAAAGCGUGGGGAGCAAACAGGAUUAGAUACCCUGGUAGUCCACGCCGUAAACGAUGAGUGCUAGGUGUUAGACCCUUUCCGGGGUUUAGUGCCGCAGCUAACGCAUUAAGCACUCCGCCUGGGGAGUACGACCGCAAGGUUG